RNAcentral lists this unclassified non-coding RNA (350 nucleotides) under plant metagenome. RNAcentral's name for it is "partial contains 5.8S ribosomal RNA, internal transcribed spacer 2, and large subunit ribosomal RNA". The record is from RNAcentral.
UGCUAGUGUCACCUUGUCAAUAGACGGUCACAAAUGUAGCCUACGUAUGAGUCGGAAUAUGUCUCCUGUAUAAACAUAGGGGAUUAGCGGACCGAAAGAUUAUUGCCAGAACAGGAGAGUGUCGAUGAGCGAACUGGGUAAAGCCCCUCUAUCCGUUCUUAUCGCGACGAAGGAUGAGGAAAGGAACAUCGCCGAGUGUAUCAAGCACCUGGCGUGGGUAGAUGAAAUUAUCAUCUACGACUCUUAUAGUAAUGAUAAGACCCUACAGAUCGCUCGGGAGAUGGGGAUCAAAACAAUCGUCCAGAGGGAAUUUGAUGAUUUUGCUACGCACUGGAAUUGGGGCCUCGAGC